Molecule: ribosomal RNA, 253 nt
Filed under: uncultured bacterium
Lineage: Bacteria
Description: partial 16S ribosomal RNA
Rfam family: Bacterial small subunit ribosomal RNA
Source: RNAcentral
UACGUAGGGUGCAAGCGUUAAUCGGAAUUACUGGGCGUAAAGCGUGCGCAGGCGGUUUUGUAAGUCAGAUGUGAAAUCCCCGGGCUUAACCUGGGAACUGCGUUUGAAACUACAAGGCUAGAGUGUGGCAGAGGGGGGUGGAAUUCCACGUGUAGCAGUGAAAUGCGUAGAGAUGUGGAGGAACACCGAUGGCGAAGCCAGCCCCCUGGGUUAACACUGACGCUCAGGCACGAAAGCGUGGGGAGCAAACAGG